Molecule: long non-coding RNA, 1037 nt
Filed under: Ananas comosus (pineapple)
Lineage: Eukaryota; Viridiplantae; Streptophyta; Magnoliopsida; Poales; Bromeliaceae
Description: long non-coding RNA (ACOM_LNC018169)
Source: RNAcentral
GGCGCCCGUGACAACGGCCCACGCGGGCACCACGACAGCGACGACGAUCAAAUCAUCGACAACGACGACGAAGAAGAAGAAGGAGGAGGAGAAAAGGAGGAGAAAAAUGAGAAUAUGAAGAAGAAGCAGGAGAGGAAGAGGAAGAGGAAGAAGGGUAAAAAUGUUACUUUACCUUAUUAACUAAUCAUGGUUAAGUAUUUUAACAGUGGUUAACUAGAUUUUUCUAACGGAUAUUAACGCAGGAACAUAUCUGAAUACAUUAGGGCUUUUGCAGGCAUAACUUAUGAAAGUUGAACUUUGCAGAAAUAUAUCUGCUAUUGACAAUGUUUGCAGAAACUUGUAUGAAAUUAACCCUUAUUAAUAGUAGUGUAGGCAGCCUAUUAUGACUAAUCGAUUCCGUAAAAAUAAAUAAAAUUAAAGAAUAAACAGCAACAAUUGUAAUAAAAAAAUGUAAGAACAAAAAUAUAUAAAAAAAUUAUAAAAAUAAUAAAUUAUAUUAUAACAGCAGUAAAAGUUGAGAAUUAAAAUAUUAUAUAGCUUAUAAUUCAAGCAAAAACUUAUAACUAAUUAAAAUUUGAAGACUAAAAAUAUCAUAUGCCUUAUAAUUUUAGCAAGAAAAUAUAACUUAUUAAAAUUCGAGAACUAAAGUGUCAUGCGUCUUAUAGUUUGAGGACCAAAAGUGUAAUUUACUCUUUUAUAUUUUAAUUUUAUUCCACAUGAAGACAGAGUUGAGCAUCACUCGGUUUUUGUUCAAUUAGUAAUUUUAUUCUAGAAAAGAAUAUGUUAAACUAUCUAAUAAAUUUUAAAAUGCCUAAUUAUUAAAAUUAAAAGUCUAACAAUUAUAUUUUGGAUAUUCUAAAAUAUUUUAAAUGUGAAAUUGAUCGUUCAUCAAACUAUAAAUAUAGACUAUAAAUAUGGUAUUGAAGUUUGAUAUUAAAUCAAAGUAAAAAAAAUACAGAACUUUUCUAAAUUAUGAACGAUUUUAAAUUAGCUAUCCAACUUUUCAAAAUUUUAUUUUUACUAUCCAACCUUUUUAU